This 550-nucleotide ribosomal RNA is filed under the name uncultured bacterium. RNAcentral describes it as "bacterial SSU rRNA". It matches the Rfam family "Bacterial small subunit ribosomal RNA", at positions 355 to 896 of the family's 1533-position model. The record is from RNAcentral.
UAGGGAAUCUUCGGCAAUGGACGGAAGUCUGACCGAGCAACGCCGCGUGAGUGAAGAAGGUUUUCGGAUCGUAAAGCUCUGUUGUAAGAGAAGAACGAGUGUGAAAGUGGAAAGUUCACACUGUGACGGUAUCUUACCAGAAAGGGACGGCUAACUACGUGCCAGCAGCCGCGGUAAUACGUAGGUCCCGAGCGUUGUCCGGAUUUAUUGGGCGUAAAGCGAGCGCAGGCGGUUAGAUAAGUCUGAAGUUAAAGGCUGUGGCUUAACCAUAGUACGCUUUGGAAACUGUUUAACUUGAGUGCAAGAGGGGAGAGUGGAAUUCCAUGUGUAGCGGUGAAAUGCGUAGAUAUAUGGAGGAACACCGGUGGCGAAAGCGGCUCUCUGGCUUGUAACUGACGCUGAGGCUCGAAAGCGUGGGGAGCAAACAGGAUUAGAUACCCUGGUAGUCCACGCCGUAAACGAUGAGUGCUAGGUGUUAGACCCUUUCCGGGGUUUAGUGNCGUAGCUAACGCAUUAAGCACUCCGCCUGGGGAGUACNACCGCAAGGNUG